CAUCUUAAGGCUGAGAUACGAUGUCGAGCUACUACGGUAGUGAAGUCAUUGAUGCCAUGCUUCCGGGAAAAGCUUCUAAGCUUCAGAUUAUAAGAAAUCGUACCCCAAACCGACACAGGUGAUCAGGUAGAGAAUACCAAGGCGCUUGAGAGAACUCGGGUGAAGGAACUAGGCAAAAUGGUACCGUAACUUCGGGAGAAGGUACGCUCCUAGCGGUGAUGAGACUUGCUCUCUAAGCUGCCGGGAGUCGCAGAUACCAGGUGGCUGCAACUGUUUAUUAAAAACACAGCACUGUGCAAAAUCGAAAGAUGACGUAUACGGUGUGACGCCUGCCCGGUGCCGGAAGGUUAAUUGAUGGGGUUAGACUUCGGUCGAAGCUCUUGAUCGAAGCCCCGGUAAACGGCGGCCGUAACUAUAACGGUCCUAAGGUAGCGAAAUUCCUUGUCGGGUAAGUUCCGACCUGCACGAAUGGCGUAAUGAUGGCCACGCUGUCUCCACCCGAGACUCAGUGAAAUUGAAAUCGCAGUGAAGAUGCUGUGUACCCGCGGCUAGACGGAAAGACCCCGUGAACCUUUACUAUAGCUUGGCACUGAACAUUGACCCUACAUGUGUAGGAUAGGUGGGAGACGUUGAAGCAACCGCGCCAGUGGUUGUGGAGUCAAUCUUGAAAUACCACCCUUGUAUGCUUGAUGUUCUAACGUUGGCCCCUUAUCGGGGUUACGGACAGUGCCUGGUGGGUAGUUUGACUGGGGCGGUCUCCUCCCAAAGAGUAACGGAGGAGCACGAAGGUGGGCUAAUCACGGUCGGACAUCGUGAGGUUAGUGCAAUGGCAUAAGCCCGCUUGACUGCGAGAAUGACAAUUCGAGCAGGUGCGAAAGCAGGUCAUAGUGAUCCGGUGGUUCUGAAUGGAAGGGCCAUCGCUCAACGGAUAAAAGGUACUCCGGGGAUAACAGGCUGAUACCGCCCAAGAGUUCAUAUCGACGGCGGUGUUUGGCACCUCGAUGUCGGCUCAUCACAUCCUGGGGCUGAAGUCGGUCCCAAGGGUAUGGCUGUUCGCCAUUUAAAGUGGUACGCGAGCUGGGUUUAGAACGUCGUGAGACAGUUCGGUCCCUAUCUGCCGUGGGCGUUGGAUGAUUGAGAGGGGCUGCUCCUAGUACGAGAGGACCGGAGUGGACGAACCGCUGGUGUUCGGGUUGUAUCGCCAGAUGCAUUGCCCGGUAGCUAAGUUCGGAAUCGAUAACCGCUGAAAGCAUCUAAGCGGGAAGCGAGCCUCAAGAUGAGUCAUCCCUAGACCUUUAAGGUCUCUAAAGGGUUG
RNAcentral lists this ribosomal RNA (1315 nucleotides) under Photobacterium kishitanii. RNAcentral describes it as "bacterial LSU rRNA". It matches the Rfam family "Bacterial large subunit ribosomal RNA", at positions 1546 to 2838 of the family's 2925-position model. Lineage: Bacteria; Pseudomonadati; Pseudomonadota; Gammaproteobacteria; Vibrionales; Vibrionaceae. The record is from RNAcentral.